CCCUACAAUUUGACAGAAACAAGUCAGCCAGCAAAGUGAAGCAUUGUUUCGUACUGAGAUGCCAAGCCUGUCAUGGGACCAUCUCGAUCCAURGAAUUUUGUAGCUGCGUCUUGCAGCUACAGACGUUGCUGCCUAGAUAAACCCAUCUUGCCUAAUCUACCCCAAAAUAAAAAGUGGCACACAGAGAUAUGGGAAGUUAUGCAAAAUUGUGGCUGGGCUGAACUUUUGGCAUAAAAUGUGUUUCAAGUUACCUUUGGGGUUUGGAAAAGAGAGGCUCCUCCAGAAGAGGAUGUGUUGAACGUCUCAAGUUCAAAAUUCGGAACAUUGAAUUGGCCAGUAAUGUGACACCUCUGAACCGCCUGACUGCAUGAAGUUCUGCCUCCUGUGGCUGGCUCCUUCGCUUAUAAAUAGAAGUUCUCCAAAGCAACUUUUGGAAAACCCAGUUGGUACUUCUUCUGCAAAUUGAAAUUUCCAGCAACCAUGAGAUGACCAGAAGACUUGAGGAAUCGCUUGUCUCAACAGCUGCUGGUUAUAGGAAUGCAGGUUCUGGGAGAUGGAGGUAAAAAUGAAGAUGUCAGGAAUGUGAGGAUGAGGGAGGGUGGGCAGAGGUCCCCACUGUUCUUCUGCAGGACAUGAGACCUCAACCCUCCAGCAGGACAUCAGCUGUAGCCUUCAGGUUCUGGGCAUCAGCUUCAUGGAUCUGCUUUAGUGACUUGUCAAGGAAAAAGAGUUUGUCCAUCACAGGGAAAGAGAGGAGAAACUGGUGAAGCAUCAUGCUGAUAUUUGACUAUGGUAAUGAUCUUGACUCCAUUAAAACCUAACAUAGAUUUUAUUUUGAUUUUGUAAGCCUAUGAGCCAAAAUCUGACUAUUUGCAACUAAAAGAUGAAGUAUGACUGUUGUUAGCUCUCUCCCCAACCUGGAUGUGCUUUUGGCUGUGCCCUAAAACCUUCUGGGAGCUUGGCUUGUGUGCCAAGUGCUAUGUAAAUUCAACUUGCAUUGCCAUUUCUCUCAGGAACUUAAAUUUGCUUCCUUAUGGGAACACUGGGACCUCCCAGGCUUCCACCCUUGAAUUUAGCACAAGGAGAUGCAAACAAAUAUAAAUAUAUGGCCUGAAAAUUAGCAGCAUAGGCUAAAAUUAAACACCGCAAACUGAGUGCUUC
Long non-coding RNA from Nothoprocta perdicaria, 1162 nucleotides. RefSeq lists it as uncharacterized. The record is from RefSeq and is a predicted model, not a curated record. Lineage: Eukaryota; Metazoa; Chordata; Aves; Tinamiformes; Tinamidae. The transcript is spliced from 2 exons.